Oreochromis niloticus (Nile tilapia) is the source of this 2226-nucleotide long non-coding RNA. RefSeq lists it as uncharacterized. The transcript has 2 exons. The record is from RefSeq and is a predicted model, not a curated record. Lineage: Eukaryota; Metazoa; Chordata; Actinopteri; Cichliformes; Cichlidae.
AAACACUGCUUGUUCCCUUUGUGCAUUUUGUCUCGCAGUUCUGUUCGAUGUUUCAGUGUGAAUUAUUGUUUCUCUGUCGAGUACAGCACUUUAUUGUAACAUGCUAGUUAGCCAUUCUCAGAUGAGAGCAUAGGAGCAUGCAGGUGACUUCUCAUGUGGUCCGCUAUCCUUCUCUCUCCCUUGAAGGUGUUCAUGCAGAAGUCCAGUAAAGUGAAGUCACUGUACUGUUUUAUUUUUAUUUUAAACAGGUAUGUGAGCUCCCUCUUUUAUUUUUGUGUCAUGUGUACUGGUUAUAUUUUUUGUUUGUGAUUCAUGUUCACUGUUUCAACUUACUGUUAGAUAUAUGUAACUAAAAAAAUAUGUAAAAUUGCCAUUGGUAAAUGAAGUCUCCCUAAACUAUAAUUUUGUUGUUGAGGUAAUUGUCACUAUAUGGUCACGAUGCAGUGCAUUUUCAUUUGUUAUAUAUGAUUAUAAAUGCAUUUUAGCAGUAUUAUUUGUUAAUUAGAUUUUAUUGUGAUGUUGCACCUCAGUCGCCCAGAGGCCCUGCUGAGGAGACGUGUUCAUGCAGAAGUCCAGUAAAGUGAAGUUGCUGUACUGUUUUAUUUUUAUUUUAAACAGUUCUCGGAGAAUAAAUCCACCCAGCUGGCAAAGUGAGAGCUGACUCCUCUGGUCAUUCGCACAACACAACGCAGAGAACUAGCGGCACUCAGAGUUUAAGGCCAGACUGGCUACACAUGCACAGAUUCAUUCUCAACUGGACAUAAAUGAUGAUCAAAGGGCUGUUUGAUGACGAUUUGGACUCCUCUGGGAGAUGAGGACACACCCACAUCUGUUCCAUACUGUAGCCAUGAAUAGUGUUACAGCUGUGAGUCAGCUUUGGGCCAUCAGAUGCACACACUGGAAAACCAGCACCUGGACUUCAUGCAGGAGAGACAGCCUAAUCCAGCAACUAAUCCAGAAGUUAAUCCCUGAGCAAACAGGAAAGGGAAAUGGUGUUACGAUGUACAAGGUGGACUCACGCGCUGGACUCCAGGGAUGAUGCACACAAGAAAAUUUAUUAAAGAACAAUGUCCAAUGAGUGUAUAUACAAAGGUGCGGGGCAGUGCUAUUUACAAGGGGUGCGGGGCAGUGCUGCUAGGUACAAAAGGUGAGGGGGGCAGGGCUCCGGGGAGAAUCCAGGGGAACACGCUCGUCUCUCUCCACACAAUCCAAACACGAACCUACUCGCCCACUCGUCGUUCAGGGAACACCAGGGAAACAGUCCAGGGAGUCUGUACACAAAGAAACGCUUGUUAGAUUCCAAACACACACUGCAGGGGAAAACACUUGCUUAGACGCUCGACUUUCACUGACGCGAUUCUCACAACGAUCCAGCGAAGAACAGCCGUUGCUUCCUGGCUUAAAUAUCAUCCACACUGAUGAGGCACAGGUGUUCCUUCCUCCGAGGGCGUGGGCCAAGGACGUGAACCCAUAAUGAGUUCAGCCCUGGCAAGAGAGAGAGGGAGAACUAGAGAGAAAGAGGGAGAGACAGCUGAUCAGCGAACCUCCAGGCCGUGACAAAUGGAUUUUGAAAUCCAGUUUAUUAAAGUGCAAUUGGAAAAAGGAUUUUGAAAUGCAGUUUAUUAAAUUGGAAUUCAAAAAUGAAUUUACAAAUGCAGAAUUUAUUCUACAAUUCAUUAUUUAAGCACAGAAAUCUUUAUUUCGAUGCGCGUGGCUCUUGUGGUCCUCCAUAUGACUCAGCAGGUGGGGGUAAAUGCAGUUUCUGAGUUUGACUUCGCCUAAGGAAUGCAGAAAUGGCUCCGCUAUGCUCCGGAUGGGGGGUGCAGGAUGCCCGAUAUCCAACCCAAUCCUGGAGUAAACUAAAAGCAAUGAGUUGUAAAUAAGUCAUUUAACAAAAAACGUCUUCAUAGGAUAAUAUUUUUUUCUUGAUGCAAAAAUGUGUAUUGUUAUUUUGUUAAUUACAUAAUGCCCGAUCCUUAAUGUUGUGGGAUAUUAUAAUGAACAUGGUAAGCUGAAAGAAAAUGUCUAACAUAUAUGGUAAUCCUGUUUUUAGAUAAUACACAAUUGUCUUUUUUGCAGGUUUAAGUAUUGAUUGAUUAAUUUGCAGUGGUUUAGUAUUGAAUGAAAUACCUAUUAAGUCCUCUUUAUUUUUGACCAUGAUGUAAUUGUUAUUUCAAUAUUAACCAUGGGUGCAAAUGUUGUGGAAAAUAAACACUAGAAUUCCAA